AGCAGCUCUCACCUCACUCACUCUGGGUUCUUCCCUCAUGGCAUGGCCAGGGUGCCGCUGGGAACCACACCCCCCAGCAGGCUAGCUUUGCAUGCCGCCCUAUCUUUCUUUUGAGGCAGCAGUUUAGAAGUGGUGCCUUGGAAUGUGUGCGUGUGCUUUCAGUUAGGCAGGAUCUUAUGGGCAAGAAACCAUCAUGCCAUGCUCUCCUUGUCUAAUGUAUUUAGCAGCACUAAAAGUAAUUUACUUAAAAAUGACUGUUUUUUAAUCUCACUGCUAAAUCCUCAGCUUGGCUUCAAGUCAGUCAGCAGCACUUCAUGAGGAGUAUUGCUGCAGUUAUUUUUAUUUUUAUUUGGAGCAGACAAACUGUAGUGGCUCCUCCUCAGGUCUUCUGUAGGUGUCUUGUACACCUUACCUGGAGGGCAACAUAUUGACAAGGUCAUACAGCGGUCAGGGGAGGACUGAGCACUCUGCCUCACCUGCUUUGCCUGCAUUUCACUAAAUGCCUAUUAAAUGAUGCUUCAGCACAGUCAGAACGGAGCAAUGCAAGGAAAAGGGCAGGUUCCCAUCCUUAUGCAUAUUUCCGGCUGGAAAUCAUGGUAUAGUAGAGCCAGAAAAUAGGUGAAUAAACAACAUAUCAGAAAUAUUGACUCCACAGCAGAGGCUGCUCUUGGACAAACAGGUUAUUGAGUACAUUGCUGUAUGAGUUCUCCACACCCAAAGCAAAAUAUUACAGGGUUUGCUCACAGGGAGGUUCUGCUAACCUGGCUCUCCUGCAGAAAACAAACAUACCACAGAAGCUGCUGCUGACUGAGGGGGGGCAGUGUGAAUUGGAAGCAAGAGACAGAAAGUGUUGCCAUACUCUUCACAGUGCUGCGCGUGGGGUAUGUGUCCAUUCCGUAAUGGCACAGGAGCUUGGUCACAGCAGGAUUUUGUGAUUACACAGCUUAAUUGUUCCCGCAUAUUAUAAAGAGCUCUUUGUUUCUGCCAUUUGUCUUUCAUAUUCAUCCACACUUUUUAUUAUGUUUCUGCUUGCUUGUCCUCCACCAAUUCCUCCAGACUAUUAUUUGCCAUUUCAAUACACUCCACCAUGCACGCCUCAGUUUAAUUUGCUCAUGCCUCUGCUCUUUCAGUUAUUUCUGUCUUGGUAGCUCUCAGCCUGUUCCCCCACUUCUAAUUCAGCUCCCACUCACUGAAAACCUCUCAUGCUGAUUUUACUUAAUACAAGAUAAUUAAGGGUAAGGUUUUUCAGAGGGUUUUUCAGAGGUACGUGCAUAAGAGGAUGGACUUUUCACGGUGCAAGCUAUUUUUUUAUGCUUGUAAGAAAAAUUGUUAAAAUAAAGGUGGCUACAAACACUCCA
Molecule: long non-coding RNA, 1358 nt
Filed under: Cyanistes caeruleus (blue tit)
Lineage: Eukaryota; Metazoa; Chordata; Aves; Passeriformes; Paridae
Description: lncRNA (ENSCCEG00000005717.1)
Source: RNAcentral